GCCGCAAGACGGCUGUUUGCGAUCUCAGGUCCGAUUGAGGGUACCGUCGUUGAGACUUAUUUGCACCGUCGCGGAAUAGCCCGCGUGUACCAUGGUGGCAGCCUGCGCUUCCAUCCGCGCUGCUACUACCGGCCUGACGAGCAUUUGCCGACCGAGACCUGGCCGGCAAUGAUCGCUGCCGUCACCGACCUCGAUGGCGGGAUCACCGGCGUGCACCG
RNAcentral lists this unclassified non-coding RNA (218 nucleotides) under Hevea brasiliensis (rubber tree). Lineage: Eukaryota; Viridiplantae; Streptophyta; Magnoliopsida; Malpighiales; Euphorbiaceae. The record is from RNAcentral.